GAAGGGAGAGCUCAGUGGCAGAGCACACACUUAGCAUGCAUGAGGUCCUAAGUUCAAUCCUCAGUACCUCCA
This 72-nucleotide transfer RNA is filed under the name Camelus bactrianus (Bactrian camel). It matches the Rfam family "tRNA". From Rfam's summary of the family: Transfer RNA (tRNA) molecules are approximately 80 nucleotides in length. Their secondary structure includes four short double-helical elements and three loops (D, anti-codon, and T loops). RNAcentral also lists the same sequence under 2 other names. The record is from Rfam by way of RNAcentral. Lineage: Eukaryota; Metazoa; Chordata; Mammalia; Artiodactyla; Camelidae.